This 370-nucleotide ribosomal RNA is filed under the name uncultured organism. RNAcentral describes it as "bacterial SSU rRNA". It matches the Rfam family "Bacterial small subunit ribosomal RNA", at positions 526 to 896 of the family's 1533-position model. The record is from RNAcentral.
CGUAGGCAGCGAGCGUUGUUCGGAGUUACUGGGCGUAAAGCGUGCGUAGGCGGCGGCCCAAGUCUGGUGUGAAAUCUCCCGGCUUAACCGGGAGGGUGCGCCGGAAACUGGGUUGCUUGAGUGCCGGAGAGGCAGGCGGAAUUCCUGGUGUAGCGGUGAAAUGCGUAGAUAUCAGGAGGAACACCCGUGGUGUAGACGGCCUGCUGGACGGCCACUGACGCUGAGGCACGAAAGCGUGGGGAGCAAACAGGAUUAGAUACCCUGGUAGUCCACGCCCUAAACGAUGCAUACUUGGUGUGGGCAGUUCAGUCUGUCCGUGCCGAAGCUAACGCGAUAAGUAUGCCGCCUGGGGAGUACGGUCGCAAGGCUG